Molecule: long non-coding RNA, 1038 nt
Filed under: Homo sapiens (human)
Lineage: Eukaryota; Metazoa; Chordata; Mammalia; Primates; Hominidae
Description: HSALNT0293605
Source: RNAcentral
GCUUUGUCAAAACGGACCCAUCAGCUCUCUGUAAAACGGACCAAUCAGCUCUCUGUAAAAUGGACCAAUCAGCUCUCUAUAAAAUGGACCAAGCAGUAGGAUGUGGGUGGGGCCAGAUAAGGGAACGAAAGCAGGCCUCCCAAGCCAGGAGCGGCAAACUGCUGGGAUCCAUUUCCAUGCUGUGGACUCUUUGUGCUUUGCUCUUUGCAGUAAAUCUUGCUGCUGCUCACUUUUUGGGUCUGCACCACCUUUAUGAGCUGUAACACUCACCGCGAAGGUCUGCAGCUUUACACCUGAAGCCAGGGAGACCACGAACUCAUCAGGAGGAACGAACAACUCCAGACGCGCGGCCUUUAAGAGCUGUAACACUCAACGCGAAGGUCUGCAGCUUCACUCUUGAAGUCAGCGAAACCGCAAACCCACCAGAAGGAAGAAACUCCGGACACAUCUGAACACCUGAAGGAACAAACCCCGGACACACCAUCUCUAAGAACUGUAACACUCACCGCCAGGGUCCGCGGCUUCAUUCUUGAAUCAGUGAGACCAAGAACCCACCAAUUCCAGACACAGAAGUAGAUGAUCCUCAAUCAAUCACUUAAAGGCCUGAAUAGAACCAAAAGUCUGACCUGCCCAUGAGUAACAGAGAGCUCCUUCUGCCUGAUUGCUUCAGCUGAGAUAUCGGCCUUUCCCUGCCUUUGGAAUUGAACUGCAACACUGGCUCUUCUUGGGCCUCAAGACUGCCAGCUUUUGAACUGUAACCACACUAUCAUCUCUCCUGGUUCUCAGGCCUUUGGACUCAAAUCAGAAGCAUACCAGGGGCUCUCCUACAUCUCCAACUUGCUAACUGUGAUCUUGAGACUUCUUAGCCUCCAUAAUCACAUGAGUCAAUUGUUGGUUCUGCUUCUCUGGAGAACCCUAAUCCAUCACUCUACAUCUUUGUUCCAUUAUACAUAUUGCUUCCCAGCAUAUUAAAUAAUUUAUCGAUUAUAUUUUUGGUUUAUUAUUUAUUUCUCCUACUGGAAUGUAAGUUUCACAGAG